RNAcentral lists this ribosomal RNA (645 nucleotides) under Maladera rufotestacea. Its description in RNAcentral is "eukaryotic LSU rRNA". It matches the Rfam family "Eukaryotic large subunit ribosomal RNA", at positions 663 to 1265 of the family's 3401-position model. Lineage: Eukaryota; Metazoa; Arthropoda; Insecta; Coleoptera; Scarabaeidae. The record is from RNAcentral.
GGACCAAGGAGUCUAGCAUGUGCGCGAGUCAUUGGGAUCUUUACUAAACCUAAAGGCGCAAUGAAAGUGAAGGUCCGCCUUGCGCGGACCGAGGGAGGAUGGACCGUUCCGAGGGACGGCCCCGCACUCCCGGGGCGUCUCGCUCUCAUCGCGAGAAGAGGCGCACCCAGAGCGUACACGCUGGGACCCGAAAGAUGGUGAACUAUGCCUGGUCAGGACGAAGUCAGGGGAAACCCUGAUGGAGGUCCGUAGCGAUUCUGACGUGCAAAUCGAUCGUCGGAACUGGGUAUAGGGGCGAAAGACUAAUCGAACCAUCUAGUAGCUGGUUCCCUCCGAAGUUUCCCUCAGGAUAGCUGGCGCUCGCUUCUCGCGAGUCUCAUUCGGUAAAGCGAAUGAUUAGAGGCAUUGGGGUCGAAACGGCCUCAACCUAUUCUCAAACUUUAAAUGGGUGAGAUCUCCGGCUUGCUUGAACUGUGAAGCCGCGAGAUAUCGGAUCAGAGUGCCAAGUGGGCCACUUUUGGUAAGCAGAACUGGCGCUGUGGGAUGAACCAAACGCUGAGUUAAAGCGCCUAAAUCGACGCUUAUGGGAUACCAUGAAAGGCGUUGGUAACUUAAGACAGCAGGACGGUGGCCAUGGAAGUCGGA